This 2913-nucleotide ribosomal RNA is filed under the name human gut metagenome. Its description in RNAcentral is "bacterial LSU rRNA". It matches the Rfam family "Bacterial large subunit ribosomal RNA". The record is from RNAcentral.
UUCAGGGCGCACGGCGGAUGCCUUGGCGCAGGGAGCCGACGAAGGGCGCGGCAAGCCGCGAUAGUCCCGGGGGAGCCGCACACGGGCUUCGAUCCCGGGGUGCCCGAAUGGGGGAACCCAGCAGGCGAGGGCCUGCUACCCGCGCAAGCGGGAGGCAACCGGGGGAACUGAAACAUCUAAGUACCCCGAGGAGAGGAAAUCAAACAGAGACCCCCCCAGUAGCGGCGAGCGAACGGGGGCCAGCCCAAACCGGGGCGCGCGUAAAGCGUGCGGGCGCUGCCGCCCCGGGGUUGAGGAUGCGGCGUCCGGGCCCCGCACGGCCCGGCCGCAGUCACAAAGCACGUGCCGGGCGGAAGACGCAUGGGAAGGCGCGCGGAACAGGGUUAGAGCCCCGUACGCGAAGGCACGUGCCUGCGGGCCGCAGUCCGGAGUACCGCCGGGCACGAGGAACCCGGCGGGAAGCAGGGGGGACCGCCCCCCAAGGCUAAGCACUACCCUGCGACCGACAGUGCACGAGUACCGUGAGGGAAAGGUGAAAAGCACCCCGGGAGGGGAGUGAAACAGCGCCUGAAACCGUGCGCCCGCAAGCAGCCGGAGCACACCCGUUGUGUGACGGCGUGCCUAUUGAAGAAUGAGCCAGCGAGUCGCGGCCGGCGGCGAGGCCUAGCUGAAGGCGAGCCGCAGCGAAAGCGAGUCCGAACAGGGCGACUUCGAGUCGCCGGCCGCGGACGCGAAGCCGGGUGAUCUACCCCGGGGCAGGGGGAAGCGGGGGUGAGACCCCGUGGACGCCCGAACCCACCGGCGUUGAAAAGCCGGGGGACGACCCCGGGGUAGGGGUGAAAGGCCAAUCAAACCCGGAGAUAUCUCGUUCUCCCCGAAAUAGCUUUAGGGCUAGCCCGCGGGGCUGCCCGCCGGCGGUAGAGCCACCGGAUCCCCUAGGGGGCCUCGCGGCCUGCCGAAGGGAACCGAACUCCGAACGCAGGCGGGUGAACCCGCGGAGUCAGGACGCGCGGGCUAAGCCGCGCGCCCGAGAGGGAAACAGCCCAGACCGCCCGCCAAGGCCCCAAAUUCACGGCCGAGUGGCAAAGGAUGUGCCCCCGCGCAGACAGCCAGGACGUUGGCCCAGAAGCAGCCACCCGUCCAAGGAGUGCGUAACAGCUCACUGGCCGAGUGGGGGUGCGCCGACAAUUCACGGGGCUAAGCCGUGAGCCGAAGCGGCGGGACAGAGGACAUGUGGUCCCUGUCGGUAGGGGAGCUUUCCGGGUGCGGCGAAGCGGGGCCGGCGAGGUCCCGUGGAGCGCCCGGAAGUGAGGAUGCUGGCACGAGUAGCGAGAGAAGUGAGAGUAACACUUCCGCCGAGAGCCCGAGGUUUCCUGGGGAAGGCUAAUCCUCCCAGGGUCAGUCGGGGCCUAAGGCUAAGGCGCGAGCCGACGCCGAAGGACGGCAGGUGGACAUUCCUGCACCGCGCGCGCCCAGCGACGCGGCGACGGCGGCGACGAGGCGGGGCGGGGUUCUGGACGCCCCCGUCCCCGAAGGGCCGGCGCGCACGAGGGAAGUCCCGUGCGCACACACCGGUCCCAGGGGCGAAGCGACUAAGUGAAGCCCGCCGAGGAGCCGUCCCAGAAAAGCCGCUAAGCGUUAUCAAGGCGCGCGCGCCCGUACCGCAGACCGACGCAGGUGGGCCGGUAGAGCAUACCGAGGCGAUCGGGCGAACCGUGGUCAAGGAACUCGGCAAAACUGCCCCGUAACCUCGGGAGAAGGGGCGCUCCUUGAAAAGGGAGCCGCAGCGAAGAGGCCCAGGCGACUGUUUACCAAAAACACAGGACGGUGCUGAAGGCGAGAGCCGACGUAUACCGUCUGACGCCUGCCCGGUGCCGGAAGGUCACGCGGAGCCGUCAGCGCAAGCGAAGCGGCGAUGCCAAGCCCCGGUAAACGGCGGCCGUAACUAUAACGGUCCUAAGGUAGCGAAAUUCCUUGUCGGGUAAGUUCCGACCUGCACGAAAGGCGCAACGACCUGGGCGCUGUCUCGACCACGGGCCCGGCGAAACUGCACUGCCGGUGAAGAUGCCGGCUACCCGCGGAAGGACGGAAAGACCCCGUGAACCUUCACUGCAGCUUGGCGGUGGGUGCCGGGGCGUCGCGUAGAGGAUAGGCGGGAGGCUUUGAGGCGGAGGCGCCAGCUUCCGCGGAGCCGACCUUGGAAUACCGCCCCCGACGCCCUGGCCCCCUAACCCCCAUUCGGGGGGACCCCGCCAGGUGGGUAGUUUGACUGGGGCGGUCGCCUCCCAAAGAGUAACGGAGGCGCGCGCAAGGUACGCUCGGGCCGGUCGGCAACCGGCCUUCAGAGUGCAAGAGCAUAAGCGUGCCAGACUGCGAGAGGGACACCUCGGGCAGGCGCGAAAGCGGGUUCUAGUGAUCCGGCGGCCCGGCGCGGAACGGCCGUCGCUCAACGGACAAAAGGUACUCCGGGGAUAACAGGCUGAUCUUGCCCAAGAGUCCACAUCGACGGCAAGGUUUGGCACCUCGAUGUCGGCUCAUCGCAUCCUGGGGCUGGAGCAGGUCCCAAGGGUACGGCUGUUCGCCGUUUAAAGCGGUACGCGAGCUGGGUUCAGAACGUCGUGAGACAGUUCGGUCCCUAUCCUCCGCGGGCGCAGGAGGGCUGAGGGGGGCCGUCCCCAGUACGAGAGGACCGGGACGGACGGACCUCCGGUGUGCCAGCUGUCGACCUAACGGCACCGCUGGGCAGCCGCGUCCGGCGCGGAUAACCGCUGAAGGCAUCUAAGCGGGAAGCCGUCCCCGAGAUGGGCCCUCCCUUCGGUAAGGCCCCAGGGAGACCACCUGGUUGAUAGGGCGCAGGUGCAAGGCGCGCGAGCGCCUCAGCCGGGCGCCACUAAUCGGCCGAGCCCUUCGGGA